Molecule: ribosomal RNA, 375 nt
Filed under: uncultured organism
Description: partial 16S ribosomal RNA
Rfam family: Bacterial small subunit ribosomal RNA
Source: RNAcentral
GUAGGUGGCAAGCGUUGUCCGGAAUUAUUGGGCGUAAGACGCGCGCAGGCGGUUCGUUUAAGUUCUGAUGUGAAAGACCCACGGGCUCAACCGUGGAGGGUCAUUGGAAACUGGAGAACUUGAGUACAGAAGAGGAAAGCGGAAUUCCACGUGUAGCGGUGAAAUGCGUAGAGAUGUGGAGGAACACCAGUGGCGAAGGCGGCUUUCUGGUCUGUAACUGACGCUGAGGCGCGAAAGCGUGGGGAGCAAACAGGAUUAGAUACCCUGGUAGUCCACGCCGUAAACGAUGAGUGCUAAGUGUUAGGGGGUUUCCGCCCCUUAGUGCUGCAGCUAACGCAUUAAGCACUCCGCCUGGGGAGUACGGCCGCAAGGCUG